UUGCCUACGGGAGGCAGCAGUGAGGAAUAUUGGUCAAUGGGCGCGAGCCUGAACCAGCCAAGUCGCGUGAGGGAUGACGGCCCUACGGGUUGUAAACCUCUUUUGUCGGGGAGCAAAUUCCGCCACGUGUGGCGGAGUCGAGAGUACCCGAAGAAAAAGCAUCGGCUAACUCCGUGCCAGCAGCCGCGGUAAUACGGAGGAUGCGAGCGUUAUCCGGAUUUAUUGGGUUUAAAGGGUGCGCAGGCGGCGAGUUAAGUCAGCGGUAAAAUUUCGGGGCUCAACCCCGACGAGCCGUUGAAACUGGC
RNAcentral lists this ribosomal RNA (305 nucleotides) under uncultured bacterium. RNAcentral describes it as "bacterial SSU rRNA". It matches the Rfam family "Bacterial small subunit ribosomal RNA", at positions 335 to 637 of the family's 1533-position model. The record is from RNAcentral.